GGGUUGAUCAAGAUGGUCUUUUUGAAGAAGAGUCCAAAUUCUAGCUUGGGAGAGGGUUCAUCGAGGAAGAAGGCGUGGCUGACAAUUUUCUCAACUCCAACCCCACCAGCUCCAUUAGUUCCCAGUGGAUCGAUUGGGUCCUCCAGUAUGGUCUCGAUUGAGAUUGAGGUGUAGGAGGGCAGCUCUCCCUACUACUUUGCAUCCCAUCUAGGUGGUGACCCCUCCUCGAACCUCGUCACUAACCAAAUCAGAUUCAUUCUCGGGGUCUCCAAUAGCUCCAGCUCCUAAAGUCUAUCAAGAAGUAGGGCCAUCCUCAUUGGUGAUCGAAAAGGAGUAUG
RNAcentral lists this long non-coding RNA (338 nucleotides) under Elaeis guineensis (African oil palm). Its description in RNAcentral is "long non-coding RNA (EGUI_LNC023213)". The record is from RNAcentral. Lineage: Eukaryota; Viridiplantae; Streptophyta; Magnoliopsida; Arecales; Arecaceae.